Molecule: ribosomal RNA, 276 nt
Filed under: uncultured bacterium
Lineage: Bacteria
Description: partial 16S ribosomal RNA
Rfam family: Bacterial small subunit ribosomal RNA
Source: RNAcentral
CUCCCGCCGGCGACCGGCGCACGGGUGAGUAACACGUAUGAAACCUGCCCGUAGCAGGGGGAUAAGCGGAAGAAAUUCCGUCUAAUACCGCGUAACAACCCGAGGAGGCAUCUCCUCGGGUUUAAAGGAAGCGAUUCCGGCUACGGAUGGUCAUGCGUCGCAUUAGCUAGUUGGCGGGGUAACGGCCCACCAAGGCGACGAUGCGUAGGGGUUCUGAGAGGAAGGUCCCCCACACUGGUGCUGAGACACGGACCAGACUCCUACGGGAGGCAGCAG